Molecule: ribosomal RNA, 497 nt
Filed under: uncultured bacterium
Lineage: Bacteria
Description: partial 16S ribosomal RNA
Rfam family: Bacterial small subunit ribosomal RNA
Source: RNAcentral
GAUGAACGCUGGCGGCGUGCCUAAUACAUGCAAGUCGAGCGGACGGACGAGAAGCUUGCUUCUCUGAUGUUAGCGGCGGACGGGUGAGUAACACGUGGAUAACCUACCUAUAAGACUGGGAUAACUUCGGGAAACCGGAGCUAAUACCGGAUAAUAUUUUGAACCGCAUGGUUCAAAAGUGAAAGACGGUCUUGCUGUCACUUAUAGAUGGAUCCGCGCUGCAUUAGCUAGUUGGUAAGGUAACGGCUUACCAAGGCAACGAUGCAUAGCCGACCUGAGAGGGUGAUCGGCCACCCUGGAACUGAGACACGGUCCAGACUCCUACGGGAGGCAGCAGUAGGGAAUCUUCCGCAAUGGGCGAAAGCCUGACGGAGCAACGCCGCGUGAGUGAUGAAGGUCUUCGGAUCGUAAAACUCUGUUAUUAGGGAAGAACAUAUGUGUAAGUAACUGUGCACAUCUUGACGGUACCUAAUCAGAAAGCCACGGCUAACUACGUG